This 334-nucleotide long non-coding RNA is filed under the name Gossypium barbadense (sea-island cotton). RNAcentral's name for it is "long non-coding RNA (GBAR_LNC017522)". Lineage: Eukaryota; Viridiplantae; Streptophyta; Magnoliopsida; Malvales; Malvaceae. The record is from RNAcentral.
AUCGGGUUCCUCCCCAAGGCUUUAUAGCCGAUUUCGCUAUUGUUUCUGCUAUCUCCUUUGCUGUUUGCACAUGGUUUUUGUCUUUUUGUGUCCUCUUUUCUUGCUUGUUUGCAGGCUUUGAGGGGUGUCAGACGCAUGGAGGAGAGGGGCAUGCGUGGGGCGUGCGACGGUGGUAGUGCGCAAGGUGGCCAAUGGUUGGCCUAGAGGUUCGGCAGCACACCUGGGGGGCUGAGUUGCGGCUGAAGGUUGAUUGCUGAAAAAUUUUGAAAUAGUUGGGCUAGGGUUUUGGUAUUGGUUUGGGCUUGUUUUGUUUAAUGGGCUUAUUGGGUUAGGG